GAUGAACGCUGGCGGCGUGCCUAACACAUGCAAGUCGAGCGAACCCUUCGGGGUGAGCGGCGGACGGGUGAGUAACGCGUGGGUAACCUGCCCUAUACAUAUGGAUAACAUACCGAAAGGUAUGCUAAUACAAAAUAAAGUGUGGACUUCGCAUGAAGAUCAUACCAAAGAUUUUAUCGGUAUAGGAUGGACCCGCGUCUGAUUAGCUAGUUGGUGAGGUAAUGGCUCACCAAGGCGACGAUCAGUAGCCGACCUGAGAGGGUGAUCGGCCACAUUGGAACUGAGACACGGUCCAAACUCCUACGGGAGCAGCAGUGGGAUAUUGCACAAUGGGCGAAAGCCUGAUGCAGCAACGCCGCGUGAGUGAUGAAGGCUUU
RNAcentral lists this ribosomal RNA (377 nucleotides) under uncultured bacterium. RNAcentral's name for it is "bacterial SSU rRNA". It matches the Rfam family "Bacterial small subunit ribosomal RNA", at positions 28 to 418 of the family's 1533-position model. The record is from RNAcentral.